This 391-nucleotide unclassified non-coding RNA is filed under the name soil metagenome. RNAcentral describes it as "partial contains 5.8S ribosomal RNA, internal transcribed spacer 2, and large subunit ribosomal RNA". The stretch from base 1 to 122 matches the Rfam family "5.8S ribosomal RNA", at positions 35 to 154 of the family's 154-position model. The record is from RNAcentral.
GAUGAAGAACGUAGCGAAAUGCGAUACUUGGUGUGAAUUGCAGAAUCCUGUGAACCAUCGAGUCUUUGAACGCAAGUUGCGCCCGAAGCCACUAGGCCGAGGGCACGCCUGCCUGGGCGUCACACGCCGUUGCCCCCCCAUCUACUCCUUCGGGAUUGCGGGGGGGCGGAUGAUGGCCUCCCGUGCGCCUAGCCGCGCGGUUGGCAUAAAUACCAAGUCCUCGGCGACGCACGCCACGACAAUCGGUGGUUGCGAAACCUCGGUUGCCCGUCGUGUGCGUUCGUCGCGCAUCGAGGGCUCGAAAAAAUGCUCGGCUCCGGCUGGGCUUUCAACGCGACCCCAGGUCAGGCGGGGUUACCCGCUGAAUUUAAGCAUAUCAAUAAGCGGAGGA